CAAGGAAUUUUCCCCAAUGGGCGCAAGCCUGAGGGAGCAACGCCGCGUGCAGGACGACGGCCUUCGGGUUGUAAACUGCUUUUGGUGGGGACGAUUGUGACGGUACCCGCCGAACAAGCCCCGGCUAACUCUGUGCCAGCAGCCGCGGUAAGACAGAGGAAGCAAGCGUUGUCCGGACUGACUGGGCGUAAAGCGCGCGCAGGCGGAGCAAGGCGUCGAUGCUGAAAUCGGGCCGCUUAACGGCCCGCGGCGUGUCGAUACGCUUGUUCUGGAGCGCGGGCGAGGGUGGUGGAAUUGCCGGUGUAGUGGUGAAAUGCGUAGAGAUCGGCAGGAACACCCGUGGCGCAAGCGGCCACCUAGCCCGUUGCUGACGCUGAGGCGCGACAGCGUGGGGAGCGAACUGG
This 404-nucleotide ribosomal RNA is filed under the name uncultured bacterium. RNAcentral's name for it is "bacterial SSU rRNA". It matches the Rfam family "Bacterial small subunit ribosomal RNA", at positions 355 to 776 of the family's 1533-position model. The record is from RNAcentral.